Molecule: ribosomal RNA, 1189 nt
Filed under: Escherichia coli
Lineage: Bacteria; Pseudomonadati; Pseudomonadota; Gammaproteobacteria; Enterobacterales; Enterobacteriaceae
Description: partial 23S ribosomal RNA
Rfam family: Bacterial large subunit ribosomal RNA
Source: RNAcentral
GACGGAGAAGGCUAUGUUGGCCGGGCGACGGUUGUCCCGGUUUAAGCGUGUAGGCUGGUUUUCCAGGCAAAUCCGGAAAAUCAAGGCUGAGGCGUGAUGACGAGGCACUACGGUGCUGAAGCAACAAAUGCCCUGCUUCCAGGAAAAGCCUCUAAGCAUCAGGUAACAUCAAAUCGUACCCCAAACCGACACAGGUGGUCAGGUAGAGAAUACCAAGGCGCUUGAGAGAACUCGGGUGAAGGAACUAGGCAAAAUGGUGCCGUAACUUCGGGAGAAGGCACGCUGAUAUGUAGGUGAAGUCCCUCGCGGAUGGAGCUGAAAUCAGUCGAAGAUACCAGCUGGCUGCAACUGUUUAUUAAAAACACAGCACUGUGCAAACACGAAAGUGGACGUAUACGGUGUGACGCCUGCCCGGUGCCGGAAGGUUAAUUGAUGGGGUUAGCGCAAGCGAAGCUCUUGAUCGAAGCCCCGGUAAACGGCGGCCGUAACUAUAACGGUCCUAAGGUAGCGAAAUUCCUUGUCGGGUAAGUUCCGACCUGCACGAAUGGCGUAAUGAUGGCCAGGCUGUCUCCACCCGAGACUCAGUGAAAUUGAACUCGCUGUGAAGAUGCAGUGUACCCGCGGCAAGACGGAAAGACCCCGUGAACCUUUACUAUAGCUUGACACUGAACAUUGAGCCUUGAUGUGUAGGAUAGGUGGGAGGCUUUGAAGUGUGGACGCCAGUCUGCAUGGAGCCGACCUUGAAAUACCACCCUUUAAUGUUUGAUGUUCUAACGUGGACCCGUAAUCCGGGUUGCGGACAGUGUCUGGUGGGUAGUUUGACUGGGGCGGUCUCCUCCUAAAGAGUAACGGAGGAGCACGAAGGUUGGCUAAUCCUGGUCGGACAUCAGGAGGUUAGUGCAAUGGCAUAAGCCAGCUUGACUGCGAGCGUGACGGCGCGAGCAGGUGCGAAAGCAGGUCAUAGUGAUCCGGUGGUUCUGAAUGGAAGGGCCAUCGCUCAACGGAUAAAAGGUACUCCGGGGAUAACAGGCUGAUACCGCCCAAGAGUUCAUAUCGACGGCGGUGUUUGGCACCUCGAUGUCGGCUCAUCACAUCCUGGGGCUGAAGUAGGUCCCAAGGGUAUGGCUGUUCGCCAUUUAAAGUGGUACGCGAGCUGGGUUUAGAACGUCGUGAGACAGUUCGGUCCCUA